Molecule: unclassified non-coding RNA, 358 nt
Filed under: Hevea brasiliensis (rubber tree)
Lineage: Eukaryota; Viridiplantae; Streptophyta; Magnoliopsida; Malpighiales; Euphorbiaceae
Source: RNAcentral
AAAAAAUAAAUAAAUAAAUAUAAAUAAAUGCUCAACUUUAUAGAACAAAUAUCAAAUUUGAACAGAAAAAACAAUAAAACAAAAAACCCCUGUUUUAAAUGACAAAAGACUUCUUAUUUCUGCAAUUCCAUUCCAUGUCUUUUAAUUGAUUGGAAACUGAAACCCCACAAUGGCAUUAGAUUGUUGUUGAAGCUCAUUCAGACAAGGGUUUGCUCUUGGACCUAUAGAGAAGCUUCUUCUUCUUGGAGGUUUGGUUAUCAAUGGUAAGAACUACCUUGCCAGAUUCACUAAUCUUGAAGGUUUCACCAAUUAUAGGUUCAUCAGUUGGACUAACCUUCCUGGUUUUUGAUACAAUAAC